GCUAGGAUGGUGUAGUGGUUUGAGUGUUGGACUACCACUCUGGAGACCUGGGUUUGAUUCCCCACUCUACCA
Molecule: transfer RNA, 72 nt
Filed under: Phrynosoma platyrhinos (Desert horned lizard)
Lineage: Eukaryota; Metazoa; Chordata; Lepidosauria; Squamata; Phrynosomatidae
Description: tRNA-OTHER
Source: RNAcentral